Molecule: non-coding RNA, 135 nt
Organism: Triticum aestivum (bread wheat)
Lineage: Eukaryota; Viridiplantae; Streptophyta; Magnoliopsida; Poales; Poaceae
Source: Rfam
GUAAUACUCCCUUCGUCCGAAAAUACUUGUCAUUAAAAUGGAUAAAAAAGGACGUAUCUAGAACUAAAAUACGUCUAGAUAUAUUUUAUUUUAUCCAUUUUGAUGACAAGUAUUUCUGGACGAAGGGAGUAUAAA